GGUGUUGCACAGUGGCAGUAUCGCAGCCAGUGAGGUUAAUCCAAGGCGUGAUUAUCGUGAGUUGAAAACUUUUCCCUAAGUCCU
This is a small nuclear RNA of Chelonoidis abingdonii (Abingdon island giant tortoise), 84 nucleotides long. Its record names the gene U4. It matches the Rfam family "U4 spliceosomal RNA". Rfam says of the family: U4 small nuclear RNA (U4 snRNA) is a component of the major U2-dependent spliceosome. The structure of U4 snRNA from yeast and human has been reported. The record is from Ensembl. Lineage: Eukaryota; Metazoa; Chordata; Testudines; Testudinidae.